UACGUAGGGGGCAAGCGUUAUCCGGAUUCAUUGGGCGUAAAGAGCGCGUAGGCGGCUUGUUAAGCGAGAUGUGAAAUCCGGGGGCUCAACCCGCGGCUUGCAUCUCGAACUGGCAGGCUUGAGUCUGGUAGAGGAGUGUGGAAUUCCCAGUGUAGCGGUGAAAUGCGCAGAUAUUGGGAGGAACACCAGUGGCGAAGGCGGCACUCUGGGCCACGACUGACGCUGAGGCGCGAAAGCUAGGGGAGCGAAC
Molecule: ribosomal RNA, 250 nt
Filed under: uncultured bacterium
Lineage: Bacteria
Description: partial 16S ribosomal RNA
Rfam family: Bacterial small subunit ribosomal RNA
Source: RNAcentral